RNAcentral lists this ribosomal RNA (494 nucleotides) under uncultured bacterium. RNAcentral describes it as "bacterial SSU rRNA". It matches the Rfam family "Bacterial small subunit ribosomal RNA", at positions 322 to 807 of the family's 1533-position model. The record is from RNAcentral.
AGGCACGGCCCAGACUCCUACAGGAGGCAGCAGUAGGGAAUCUUCCGCAAUGGACGAAAGUCUGACGGAGCACCGCCGUCGUGAGUGAUGAAGGUUUUCGGAUCGUAAAACUCUGUUGUUAGGGAAGAACAAGUACGAGAGUAACUGCUCGUACCUUGACGGUACCUAACCCGAAAGCCACGGCUAAAUACGUGCCAGCAGCCGCGGUAAUACGUAGGUGGCAAGCGUUGUCCGGAAUUAUUGGGCGUAAAGCGCGCGCAGGCGGUCUCUUAAGUAUGAUGUGAAAGCCCACGGCUCAACAGUGGAGGGUCAUUGGAAACUGGGGGACUUGAGUGCAGGAGAGAAGAGUGGAAUUCCACGUGUUGCGGUGAAAUGCGUAGAGAUGUGGAGGAACACCUGUGGCGAAGGCGACUAUUUGGCCUGUAUCUGACUCUGAGGCGCGAAAGCGUGGGGAGCAAACAAGAUUAGAUACCCUGGUAGUUCACGCCGUAAAC